Molecule: ribosomal RNA, 253 nt
Filed under: uncultured bacterium
Lineage: Bacteria
Description: partial 16S ribosomal RNA
Rfam family: Bacterial small subunit ribosomal RNA
Source: RNAcentral
UACAGAGGGGGCAAGCGUUGUUCGGAAUUACUGGGCGUAAAGGGCGCGUAGGCGGCCUUCUAAGUCGAACGUGAAAUCCCCGGGCUCAACCCGGGAACUGCGUCCGAUACUGGAAGGCUUGAAUCCGGGAGAGGGAUGCGGAAUUCCCGGUGUAGUGGUGAUAUGCGUAGAUAUCGGGAGGAACACCAGUGGCGAAGGCGGCUCUCUGGGCCUCUCCUGACGCUGAGACGCGAAAGCGUGGGGAGCGAACCGG